GAAGGGGAAGAGUAUUUUUUGUUUUUCUUUUUGGUUCACAAAGAACCUCAUAUGAUUGGUGUAGACUUCUUUCUCAUGAGAUGCUGUCCACACUGCCUAUGGAGCCUUGAAAACAAUAUAAGGGUCAACAAACCCAAUACUAUUGUCAUUUCUGAUUCUGAGGUCUCUCAUUUGGUGCCUGCAUAUAUACAUACAAAUCCUAAAUGUGUAAGGAUUAUAUACAUGUAAUUAAAGAAGUUAGAAGUUUAAUAAAAAGAAAGAAAUACUUACAGACAAAAGUAGUUGACAAGAGAUUUGUCGAGAGCGUCGAGGUGACAUAAUUGGUGCAAUUCUUUGAACUGCACGUAUAUGAGGUCAUCUCCAU
Molecule: long non-coding RNA, 364 nt
Filed under: Sorghum bicolor (sorghum)
Lineage: Eukaryota; Viridiplantae; Streptophyta; Magnoliopsida; Poales; Poaceae
Description: long non-coding RNA (SBIC_LNC008801)
Source: RNAcentral